GAUGAGUUAAAGUAUUUGGAACAAAGUCUGUGGAGUAAGUGUUAUUAAUAUGAUAUCAUAGAAAUAUAAUCAGUUAUAGUACGUAAAUACAACUCUGGGUGUCACAUUUAUGACCUGCUAUGUCAGUAAUGUCUUCUGCACUUACACACUCCUUUUCCCAAUGUCACUUUCCAAACACCUUUUCCAAGCUGAUGAGGGAAUUUUUUAAACCUGUAGCCGAGUGUGCUUCCCUCCUAGGUGAGGCUCGAGACCACGCUUGCCCAAGGCCUGGCGGGGGGCAAGCAGAGCUUGUGCUUGGAGUGGAUUGUGGUGACUGGCGUCCUGUCACCAGCAGCCUGGGGACCAUUAUGUGGCACCACCGGGAAAGGACGCGUGAAUACUGGUCAGCGCUCGGUGCCUAAGCGUCCCUGUGCUCAGGUUCGGGUCACCUCUUCUACAGCAUAAGCCGACGGACCCUUCAGCGAACACGGCUUCAGAUCCUCAGGUCCACUGCACCCUGGACUUCUCUGCCCACAUACGUCACAGGCACCUGCAGCUCAGCAUCCAAACCUUAAUCUGUUUCUGUGUCAAACGUUACCCUGCCUUGAGCAUUUCCUACCCAAAAAAUGAGGGCUUGCUGCCGUCUUGGGCGGCACGAGCUUAUUUAGCAGCUGUGCAGGAGAAUGUUAUCUAAAAGUCACAGAGGGCACUGUUUCCGGCAACAAAAGAAAACUGGGGUUUACACACAAUGGAGUGCUACUCUGCCAUAAAGAAGGGUGAACUUGAGUCAACUGUAGGAAAACGGAUGCCCCUGCAGGUGUUAAAGUGAAGUGAAAUAAAUCAGACGCACAAGGGUAAAUUGCCGUAUGGUUUCUCUUCUGUGAGGAACUCAAAGCGUAAAUAAAGAGCAAGGUAAAAGGCAGAUGGUAGGAGACAAGGAGAUAGUUCUUUUGAAAAGGGGAAGAGGACCAGGAGACAGGGCAGGAACAGGGAGAGGAGGGCAAGGAAAAGUAAAAGAAUUAAGACAUGUUACAUACAUGUACCAGCUUCUCACAAUGAAUAAAAUCCCCUGUACUAAUACUACACACACAUACAGCGGUUUGCGAUACGUGUUCGUGACUCCUCGAGACUAAUGGUUACCCUUGGAAGGAAGAGCUGUCCUGAGGGGAGUGCGGGGUGGCCAGGGGAGAGGACCCCUCGGUGUUCAGGAAUGAAGGGCCAGCCACUCCUCCGCUUAGCACUUCCCAAGCCGUGGGUUCCCUGGUGCGCCCCUCAGUUCAUUCUGGGCCUUAAAUGCUUAAGUAUUGAAAACACAUACAGACACAUUAACUGUGCCUAAGUACUUUUUCACUUGCAGCAGUUACUUAAAAUAGCUUCUGUCUGCUGCUGUUUCUGUGUCUCGGGUUAAACUGACCUGGCAGUGCUCUUUACUGGAAGAUGCGGGGCUGAGUCCUCCGGGUCAGCACAGGCGCUCCGACACCUGCCCAGGCCCGUCCCAGCACCCC
Molecule: long non-coding RNA, 1484 nt
Filed under: Fukomys damarensis (Damara mole-rat)
Lineage: Eukaryota; Metazoa; Chordata; Mammalia; Rodentia; Bathyergidae
Description: lncRNA (ENSFDAG00000030686.1)
Source: RNAcentral